CCUACGGGAGGCAGCAGUGGGGGAUAUUGCACAAUGGGGGGAACCCUGAUGCAGCGACGCCGCGUGGGUGAAGAAGCGCCUCGGCGCGUAAAGCCCUGUCAGCAGGGAAGAAAAUGACGGUACCUGAAGAAGAAGCCCCGGCUAACUACGUGCCAGCAGCCGCGGUAAUACGUAGGGGGCAAGCGUGAUCCGGAUUUACGGGGUGGAAAGGGGGCGCAGACGGCGAUGCAAGCCAGGAGUGAAAGCCCGGGGCCCAACCCCGGGACUGCUCUUGGAACUGCGUGGCUGGAGUGCAGGAGGGGCAGGCGGAAUUCCUGGUGUAGCGGUGAAAUGCGUAGAUAUCAGGAGGAACACCGGUGGCGAAGGCGGCCUGCUGGACUGCAACUGACGUUGAGGCACGAAAGCGUGGGGAGCAAACAGGAUUAGAUACCCGUGUAGUC
Molecule: ribosomal RNA, 440 nt
Filed under: uncultured bacterium
Lineage: Bacteria
Description: partial 16S ribosomal RNA
Rfam family: Bacterial small subunit ribosomal RNA
Source: RNAcentral